GUCGGGCGCCCCGCAAGGGGAGCGGCGGACGGGUGAGUAACACGUGGGAAUUUUCCUCAAGGUACGGAACAACUCAGGGAAACUUGGGCUAAUACCGUAUGAUGCAGAGAUGCCAAAGAUUUAUCGCCUUGGGAUAAGCCCGCGUCAGAUUAGGUAGUUGGUGAGGUAACGGCUCACCAAGCCUGUGAUCUGUAGCUGGUCUGAGAGGACGAUCAGCCACAUUGGGACUGAGACACGGCCCAAACUCCUACGGGAGGCAGCAGUGGGGAAUCUUGCGCAAUGGGCGAAAGCCUGACGCAGCCAUGCCGCGUGAAUGAUGAAGGUCUUAGGAUUGUGAAGUUCUUUCGCUCGUGACGAUGAUGACGGUAACGAGAGAAGAAGCCCCGGCUAACUUCGUGCCAGCAGCCGCGGUAAUACGAAGGGGGCUAGCGUUGUUCGGAAUUACUGGGCGUAAAGCGCGCGUAGGCGGCUUUGCAAGCCAGAGGUGAAAUGCCUGAGCUCAACUUAGGAAUUGCCUUUGGGACUGCGAGGCUUCGAGGACUGGAGAGGUGAGUGGAAUUCCCAGUGUAGAGGUGAAAUUCGUAGAUAUUGGGAAGAACACCAGUGGCGAAGGCGGCUCACUGGCCAGUUUCUGACGCUAAAGUGCGAAAGCGUGGGGAUCAAACAGGAUUAGAUACCCUGGUAGUCCACGCUGUAAACG
This 700-nucleotide ribosomal RNA is filed under the name uncultured Hyphomicrobiales bacterium. RNAcentral describes it as "bacterial SSU rRNA". It matches the Rfam family "Bacterial small subunit ribosomal RNA", at positions 61 to 808 of the family's 1533-position model. Lineage: Bacteria; Pseudomonadati; Pseudomonadota; Alphaproteobacteria; Hyphomicrobiales. The record is from RNAcentral.